UGAUAUUCUUCUCAAGCAUAUCACUCAGUAGUCGAGAGGCAUCACUCCAUCUUCCGUAGUUACAGAGGCAGCUAAUGAGGGGGUUGUAGGUAAAAACAUCAG
This 102-nucleotide small RNA is filed under the name Arabidopsis thaliana (thale cress). RNAcentral describes it as "ATSL062980". The record is from RNAcentral. Lineage: Eukaryota; Viridiplantae; Streptophyta; Magnoliopsida; Brassicales; Brassicaceae.